UGGGGAAUAUUGGACAAUGGGCGAAAGCCUGAUCCAGCGACGCCGCGUGGGUGAAGAAGGCCUGCGGGUUGUAAAGCCCUUUCGGUGGGGAUGAAAAGCCUUGACCUAACACGUCAGGGUCUUGACCUAACCCAAGAAAGAAGCACCGGCUAACUCUGUGCCAGCAGCCGCGGUAAUACAGAGGGUGCGAGCGUUAAUCGGAAUUACUGGGCGUAAAGCGCGCGUAGGUGGCUUUGCAAGUCGAUUGUGAAAUCCCCGGGCUCAACCUGGGAACUGCAGUCGAGACUGUAUUGCUAGAGUAUGGGAGAGGGAGGUGGAAUUUCCGGUGUAGCGGUGAAAUGCGUAGAUAUCGGAAGGAACAUCAGUGGCGAAAGCGACCUCCUGGACCAAUACUGACACUCAAGUGCGAAAGCGUGGGGAGCAAACAGGAUUAGAUACCCCCGUAGUCC
This 449-nucleotide ribosomal RNA is filed under the name uncultured bacterium. RNAcentral describes it as "bacterial SSU rRNA". It matches the Rfam family "Bacterial small subunit ribosomal RNA", at positions 355 to 796 of the family's 1533-position model. The record is from RNAcentral.